CUUGUGGUAGUUGAAUAAAACAUCAGACUCUUAAUCUGGGAGGUACUAGUAAGUUUGUCUAGUUCACAAGG
Molecule: transfer RNA, 71 nt
Filed under: Rhabdopleura sp. NHMO H2137
Lineage: Eukaryota; Metazoa; Hemichordata; Pterobranchia; Rhabdopleurida; Rhabdopleuridae
Description: tRNA-Lys
Rfam family: tRNA
About the family: Transfer RNA (tRNA) molecules are approximately 80 nucleotides in length. Their secondary structure includes four short double-helical elements and three loops (D, anti-codon, and T loops). Further hydrogen bonds mediate the characteristic L-shaped molecular structure. tRNAs have two regions of fundamental functional importance: the anti-codon, which is responsible for specific mRNA codon recognition, and the 3' end, to which the tRNAs corresponding amino acid is attached (by aminoacyl-tRNA synthetases). tRNAs cope with the degeneracy of the genetic code in two manners: having more than one tRNA (with a specific anti-codon) for a particular amino acid; and 'wobble' base-pairing, i.e. permitting non-standard base-pairing at the 3rd anti-codon position.
Source: RNAcentral